Molecule: small nucleolar RNA, 128 nt
Organism: Saimiri boliviensis boliviensis (Bolivian squirrel monkey)
Lineage: Eukaryota; Metazoa; Chordata; Mammalia; Primates; Cebidae
Source: Ensembl
UGCACACCUGCAUGUUUUUCUCUAACUUGUGGACAAAGACUUACAGACAGUUUCCAGAAAUAAAUCCUCUUUUGCAACCCAAAGCUCAUUGUUCAGUAUGAGUUUUGAUACAUGUAAGAGGAGAUAUU